UACGGAGGGGGCUAGCGGUGUUCGGAAUUACUGGGCGUAAAGCGCGCGUAGGCGGAGAUCCAAGUCGGGGGUGAAAUCCCGGGGCUCAACCCCGGAACUGCCUCCGAUACUGGUUCUCUGGAGGACGGGAGAGGCGAGUGGAAUGCCGAGUGUAGAGGUGAAAUUCGUAGAUAUUCGGCGGAACACCCGUGGCGAAGGCGGCUCGCUGGUCCGUUUCUGACGCUGAGGCGCGAAAGCGUGGGGAGCAAACAGG
This 253-nucleotide ribosomal RNA is filed under the name uncultured bacterium. RNAcentral's name for it is "partial 16S ribosomal RNA". It matches the Rfam family "Bacterial small subunit ribosomal RNA", at positions 524 to 776 of the family's 1533-position model. The record is from RNAcentral.